RNAcentral lists this ribosomal RNA (465 nucleotides) under uncultured bacterium. RNAcentral describes it as "partial 16S ribosomal RNA". It matches the Rfam family "Bacterial small subunit ribosomal RNA", at positions 338 to 795 of the family's 1533-position model. The record is from RNAcentral.
CCUACGGGGGGCAGCAGUAGGGAAUCUUCCACAAUGGGCGAAAGCCUGAUGGAGCAACGCCGCGUGGGUGAAGAAGGUCUUCGGAUCGUAAAACCCUGUUGUUAGAGAAGAAAGUGCGUGAGAGUAACUGUUCACGUUUCGACGGUAUCUAACCAGAAAGCCACGGCUAACUACGUGCCAGCAGCCGCGGUAAUACGUAGGUGGCAAGCGUUAUCCGGAUUUAUUGGGCGUAAAGGGAACGCAGGCGGUCUUGUAAGUCUGAUGUGAAAGGCUUCGGCUUAACCGGAGUAGUGCAUUGGAAACUGGGAGACUUGAGUGCAGAAGAGGAGAGUGGAACUCCAUGUGUAGCGGUGAAAUGCGUAGAUAUAAGGAGGAACACCAGUGGCGAAGGCGGCUCUCUGGUCUGUAACUGACGCUGAGGUUCGAAAGCGUGGGUAGCAAACAGGAUUAGAUACCCCUGUAGUC